AAAAUGUACUGGUACAACUCACAAUAUAAUACAUCUUCAUUCCCUUUCUUUAUCCGCAGAGUGAUAUAACAAACUAUUUUUCAAAAAAUGUUUUUCUUUCUUUUAGUUCAGUCUGCCAAACAGCGUCGAAUGGAGAUAAAAAUGACAAGGACAGAAAAACAAAAGAAUCAUGCAGAACGAAAAGCCUCAUUUAUCAGAAUUAGACAGCAAUCAAGAUCUGAAUUAAAAAUCCUCCUUCAGUUAUGAUACAAGACAUUACUGGUAAUUAUUUUCCAUACAGUACAAAGAAGAUAAGUUCUCCCUCUGUUUCCAGAUGGCAAAGAUAGAAGGUAAUUGUAAUGGCGUGACAGCUACAGUACAUUUAAAAGAGUAAUAGUAAACAAGCU
RNAcentral lists this long non-coding RNA (386 nucleotides) under Numida meleagris (helmeted guineafowl). RNAcentral's name for it is "lncRNA (ENSNMEG00000001869.1)". Lineage: Eukaryota; Metazoa; Chordata; Aves; Galliformes; Numididae. The record is from RNAcentral.